GCGGAGGGAUCAUUACUGAGUGAGGGCCUUCGGGCUCGACCUCCAACCCUUUGUGAACACAACUUGUUGCUUCGGGGGCGACCCUGCCGUUUCGACGGCGAGCGCCCCCGGAGACCAUCAAACACUGCAUCUUUGCGUCGGAGUUUAAGUAAAUUAAACAAAACUUUCAACAACGGAUCUCUUGGUUCUGGCAUCGAUGAAGAACGCAGCGAAAUGCGAUAAGUAAUGUGAAUUGCAGAAUUCAGUGAAUCAUCGAAUCUUUGAACGCACAUUGCGCCCUUUGGUAUUCCGAAGGGCAUGCCUGUUCGAGCGUCAUUUCACCACUCAAGCCUGGCUUGGUAUUGGGCGCCGCGGUCAAUCCGCGCGCCUCAAAGUCUCCGGCUGAGCUGUCCGUCUCUAAGCGUUGUGAUUUCAUUAAUCGCUUCGGAGUGCGGGCGGCCGCGGCCGUUAAAUCUUUCACAAGGUUGACCUCGGAUCAGGUAGGGAUACCCGCUG
This 495-nucleotide ribosomal RNA is filed under the name Septoria epambrosiae. RNAcentral's name for it is "eukaryotic LSU rRNA". The stretch from base 162 to 315 matches the Rfam family "5.8S ribosomal RNA". The record is from RNAcentral. Lineage: Eukaryota; Fungi; Ascomycota; Dothideomycetes; Mycosphaerellales; Mycosphaerellaceae. RNAcentral also lists the same sequence under 32 other names.